CCUACGGGAGGCAGCAGUGGGGAAUAUUGGGCAAUGGGCGCAAGCCUGACCCAGCAACGCCGCGUGAAGGAAGAAGGCUUUCCGGUUGUAAACUUCUUUUAAGAGGGAAGAGCAGAAGACGGUACCUCUUGAAUAAGCCACGGCUAACUACGUGCCAGCAGCCGCGGUAAUACGUAGGUGGCAAGCGUUGUCCGGAUUUACUGGGGGUAAAGGGCGUGCAGCCGGGAUGACAAGUCAGAUGUGAAAUCCCGCGGCUCAACCGCGGAACUGCAUUUGAAACUGUUUUUCUUGAGUACCGGAGAGGUCAUCGGAAUGCCUGGUGUAGCGGUGAAAUGCGUAGAUAUAAGGAAGAACACCAGUGGCGAAGGCGGAUGACUGGACGGCAACUGACGGUGAGGCGCGAAAGCGUGGGGAGCAAACAGGAUUAGAUACCCCUGUAGUC
RNAcentral lists this ribosomal RNA (442 nucleotides) under uncultured bacterium. RNAcentral's name for it is "partial 16S ribosomal RNA". It matches the Rfam family "Bacterial small subunit ribosomal RNA", at positions 338 to 795 of the family's 1533-position model. The record is from RNAcentral.